This 422-nucleotide ribosomal RNA is filed under the name uncultured bacterium. RNAcentral's name for it is "bacterial SSU rRNA". It matches the Rfam family "Bacterial small subunit ribosomal RNA", at positions 102 to 518 of the family's 1533-position model. The record is from RNAcentral.
ACGGGUGAGUAACGCGUAUGACAACCUACCUAUCGAGACGGGGAAUAACCCGGCGAAAGUCGGACUAAUACCGCAUAAAACAGGGGCACCGCAUGGUGAUAUUUGUUAAAGAAUUCGCUGAUAGAUGGGCAUGCGUUCCAUUAGGUAGUUGGUGAGGUAACGGCUCACCAAGCCGACGAUGGAUAGGGGAACUGAGAGGUUGGUCCCCCACACUGGUACUGAGACACGGACCAGACUCCUACGGGAGGCAGCAGUGAGGAAUAUUGGUCAAUGGGCGGGAGCCUGAACCAGCCAAGUCGCGUGAAAAGGAAGAAGGAUCUAUGGUUCGUAAACUUCUUUUGCAGGGGAAUAAAGUGCAGGACGUGUCCUGUUUUGUAUGUACCCUGAGAAUAAGGAUCGGCUAACUCCGUGCCAGCCGCAGC